GAACGAACUCUGGUAUUGAUUGGUGCUUGCAUCAUGAUUUACAUUUGCGUUAAUGGCGAACUGGUGAGUAACACGUGGGAAACCUGCCCCGAAGCGGGGGAUAACACCUGGAAACAGAUGCUAAUACCGCAUAACAACUUGGACCGCAUGGUCCGAGUUUGAAAGAUGGCUUCGGCUAUCACUUUUGGAUGGUCCCGCGGCGUAUUAGCUAGAUGGUGGGGUAACGGCUCACCAUGGCAAUGAUACGUAGCCGACCUGAGAGGGUAAUCGGCCACAUUGGGACUGAGACACGGCCCAAACUCCUACGGGAGGCAGCAGUAGGGAAUCUUCCACAAUGGACGAAAGUCUGAUGGAGCAACGCCGCGUGAGUGAAGAAGGGUUUCGGCUCGUAAAACUCUGUUGUUAAAGAAGAACAUAUCUGAGAGUAACUGUUCAGGUAUUGACGGUAUUUAACCAGAAAGCCACGGCUAACUACGUGCCAGCAGCCGCGGUAAUACGUAGGUGGCAAGCGUUGUCCGGAUUUAUUGGGCGUAAAGCGAGCGCAGGCGGUUUUUUAAGUCUGAUGUGAAAGCCUUCGGCUCAACCGAAGAAGUGCAUCGGAAACUGGGAAACUUGAGUGCAGAAGAGGACAGUGGAACUCCAUGUGUAGCGGUGAAAUGCGUAGAUAUAUGGAAGAACACCAGUGGCGAAGGCGGCUGUCUGGUCUGUAACUGACGCUGAGGCUCGAAAGUAUGGGUAGCAAACAGGAUUAGAUACCCUGGUAGUCCAUACCGUAAACGAUGAAUGCUAAGUGUUGGAGGGUUUCCGCCCUUCAGUGCUGCAGCUAACGCAUUAAGCAUUCCGCCUGGGGAGUACGGCCGCAAGGCUGAAACUCAAAGGAAUUGACGGGGGCCCGCACAAGCGGUGGAGCAUGUGGU
Molecule: ribosomal RNA, 917 nt
Filed under: uncultured bacterium
Lineage: Bacteria
Description: bacterial SSU rRNA
Rfam family: Bacterial small subunit ribosomal RNA
Source: RNAcentral